AGCGAACGCUGGCGGCAUGCUUAACACAUGCAAGUCGCACGGUCAGCAAUGGCAGUGGCGGACGGGUGAGUAACGCGUAGGUAUCUAUCCUUGGAAUGGGGGACAACCGUGGGAAACUACGGCUAAUACCGCAUGAUCGCAGGAGAACGAGAAGUAGCGUUGAGGAGGAGCCUGCGUCUGAUUAGGUAGUUGGUGGGGUAAAGGCCUACCAAGCCUACGAUCAGUAGCUGGUCUGAGAGGAUGAUCAGCCACAUUGGGACUGAGACACGGCCCGAACUCCUACGGGAGGCAGCAGUGGGGAAUAUUGGACAAUGGGCGCAAGCCUGAUCCAGCAAUGCCGCGUGGGUGAAGAAGGUCUUCGGAUUGUAAAGCCCUUUUGGCGGGGACGAUGAUGACGGUACCUGCAGAAUAAGCCCCGGCUAACUUCGUG
Molecule: ribosomal RNA, 430 nt
Filed under: uncultured bacterium
Lineage: Bacteria
Description: bacterial SSU rRNA
Rfam family: Bacterial small subunit ribosomal RNA
Source: RNAcentral